Molecule: ribosomal RNA, 882 nt
Filed under: Escherichia coli
Lineage: Bacteria; Pseudomonadati; Pseudomonadota; Gammaproteobacteria; Enterobacterales; Enterobacteriaceae
Description: partial 23S ribosomal RNA
Rfam family: Bacterial large subunit ribosomal RNA
Source: RNAcentral
GCCCCGGUAAACGGCGGCCGUAACUAUAACGGUCCUAAGGUAGCGAAAUUCCUUGUCGGGUAAGUUCCGACCUGCACGAAUGGCGUAAUGAUGGCCAGGCUGUCUCCACCCGAGACUCAGUGAAAUUGAACUCGCUGUGAAGAUGCAGUGUACCCGCGGCAAGACGGAAAGACCCCGUGAACCUUUACUAUAGCUUGACACUGAACAUUGAGCCUUGAUGUGUAGGAUAGGUGGGAGGCUUUGAAGUGUGGACGCCAGUCUGCAUGGAGCCGACCUUGAAAUACCACCCUUUAAUGUUUGAUGUUCUAACGUGGGCCCGUAAUCCGGGUUGCGGACAGUGUCUGGUGGGUAGUUUGACUGGGGCGGUCUCCUCCUAAAGAGUAACGGAGGAGCACGAAGGUUGGCUAAUCCUGGUCGGACAUCAGGAGGUUAGUGCAAUGGCAUAAGCCAGCUUGACUGCGAGCGUGACGGCGCGAGCAGGUGCGAAAGCAGGUCAUAGUGAUCCGGUGGUUCUGAAUGGAAGGGCCAUCGCUCAACGGAUAAAAGGUACUCCGGGGAUAACAGGCUGAUACCGCCCAAGAGUUCAUAUCGACGGCGGUGUUUGGCACCUCGAUGUCGGCUCAUCACAUCCUGGGGCUGAAGUAGGUCCCAAGGGUAUGGCUGUUCGCCAUUUAAAGUGGUACGCGAGCUGGGUUUAGAACGUCGUGAGACAGUUCGGUCCCUAUCUGCCGUGGGCGCUGGAGAACUGAGGGGGGCUGCUCCUAGUACGAGAGGACCGGAGUGGACGCAUCACUGGUGUUCGGGUUGUCAUGCCAAUGGCACUGCCCGGUAGCUAAAUGCGGAAGAGAUAAGUGCUGAAAGCAUCUAAGCACGAAACUUGCC